RNAcentral lists this ribosomal RNA (506 nucleotides) under uncultured bacterium. RNAcentral describes it as "partial 16S ribosomal RNA". The stretch from base 20 to 328 matches the Rfam family "Bacterial small subunit ribosomal RNA", at positions 47 to 358 of the family's 1533-position model. The record is from RNAcentral.
GACGAACGCUGGCGGCGUGCUUAACACAUGCAAGUCGAACGGAAAGGCCCUGCUUGCAGGGUACUCGAGUGGCGAACGGGUGAGUAACACGUGGGUGAUCUGCCCUGCACUUCGGGAUAAGCCUGGGAAACUGGGUCUAAUACCGGAUAGGAGCCAUUUUUAGUGUGAUGGUUGGAAAGUUUUUUCGGUGUAGGAUGAGCUCGCGGCCUAUCAGCUUGUUGGUGGGGUAAUGGCCUACCAAGGCGGCGACGGGUAGCCGGCCUGAGAGGGUGGACGGCCAGGUGGGGGCGAGGCGCCGGGACAGAGCACGGGGGGGGGGGGCGGUGGGGAGGAGCGAAACGUGGGAGCAGGCGUGGGGGAGCGGAGGGGGGUGGGCGAGGAGUGGCUUUGUGUUUUUAACGCGUAGCGCUGGGGAGGAUGCUUUUUGGGCCGGAACAUAGAUAGGAAGCACCGGGAAACUACGAGCCAGCGGCAGCGGUAAGACGCGGAAGAGCCAACUGCUAACC